CCAGAGCAAAAUCUGGAGCAAACCACCUGCUUCCAUGAGUGGUGGGGAGGUGAUAGAGAAGAUCAACUUUCUACUCAUCCCUAAUGAAUCUGCCAGGACUGAAGAUUAUGGUUUUCCCUUGGUGUUUGAAGUAAACAGAUUGUGACCACCUUGAUGAAUAGAAUAUAACAGAAGUGACACCACAUGACUUUCAAGCCUAAGUCAUAAAAGUUGAUAUGGCUUACCCUUGGCCCUCCCAGGAUGCCUGCUUUGUGAACUCAGUCUCCAUGGAGUGGGAAGACACAGAUUAUAUGGAAAGACAACAACAUCCUCUUCCUUGGGAUUUGUCCCUACACUUUGAUCUCAAGUGGGAGCUGUAGAGAGGAAGGUGAAGCAGGAAGAGACUUAGAGGAACAAUGAAAGAACAUAUUUUCAUGAGGUGACAUGGUUGUCAAAUUUCAC
This is a long non-coding RNA of Zalophus californianus (California sea lion), 441 nucleotides long. RefSeq lists it as uncharacterized. Lineage: Eukaryota; Metazoa; Chordata; Mammalia; Carnivora; Otariidae. The record is from RefSeq and is a predicted model, not a curated record. The transcript has 3 exons.